This 104-nucleotide ribosomal RNA is filed under the name uncultured bacterium. RNAcentral describes it as "partial 16S ribosomal RNA". It matches the Rfam family "Bacterial small subunit ribosomal RNA", at positions 1379 to 1482 of the family's 1533-position model. The record is from RNAcentral.
CCUUGUACACACCGCCCGUCACACCACGAAAGCCGGUUGUACCAGAAGUCGCCCAGCUAACCGCAAGGAGGCAGGCGCCGAAGGUAUGGUCGGUGAUUGGGGUG